UACGGAGGGAGCUAGCGUUAUUCGGAAUUACUGGGCGUAAAGCGCACGUAGGCGGCUUUGUAAGUAAGAGGUGAAAGCCCAGAGCUCAACUCUGGAAUUGCCUUUUAGACUGCAUCGCUUGAAUCAUGGAGAGGUCAGUGGAAUUCCGAGUGUAGAGGUGAAAUUCGUAGAUAUUCGGAAGAACACCAGUGGCGAAGGCGGCUCACUGGCCCGGUACUGACGCUGAGGUGCGAAAGCGUGGGGAGCAAACAGG
This 253-nucleotide ribosomal RNA is filed under the name uncultured bacterium. RNAcentral's name for it is "partial 16S ribosomal RNA". It matches the Rfam family "Bacterial small subunit ribosomal RNA", at positions 524 to 776 of the family's 1533-position model. The record is from RNAcentral.